Molecule: long non-coding RNA, 2545 nt
Filed under: Gallus gallus (chicken)
Lineage: Eukaryota; Metazoa; Chordata; Aves; Galliformes; Phasianidae
Source: RNAcentral
CCUGCCUAUUGAAGCUUGAGAGAAUGGAAGGCAAGUAAAAACCCCGGGACGUUGGCUGCACCUCAGAAUGAAGUCAUGAGCCUGGAUAUGUGAACGCCCUACCAAGAGCAUCUCAGCUGACUAGGGCUGAUUAGUUUAACUGAAAGUAUAUUUUAAAGAGCAAGGAGUUGCAGCAAGGCUGUGCUGAACUACAGCACUGUUGGCAAACUCUUUGCUCUUUAGACAGCUUUCAAAAUGUGCAGUGAGGACGUAGGGAAUAAUUAUAGAUCCUCUAUUAGCAAUCCAACUUCAAGAAAGCAGCAGUUUAGAACAAAAUAUGCAGAAUGCUACAUUCUGAGCACCGUUCUGCAAGUCUGCUUAGCACACAGUUAUUUGAAAACACUGCAUCUUACGAAGACACUGAAUCUGGCUGUAAUUUUGUUACCACUUUCCCAUUUUCUGGCUGAGAAGGAAAAAAAGUCCCUCCGCAAUAGUUACCAGUACUUACAUAUAUGUAAAAUGCUACAAUGGAUACAUUUUUGAAGUCAAGUGCUGCAUCAAUCUCAUCCAUAAAAUACAGUGGUGUUGGCUUGUAAUGAUGAAGUGCAAAAACUAAAGCCAGUGAACUAAGAGUCUUCUCUCCUCCUGAUAAGUUAAAUAUCUUCUUCCAGCUUUUCUUUGGAGGCCGAACACUGAAAUAAAAUCAGAGUUUGUAAAUUACUUCUGUUCAUGAAUAAAAGGAAUAUGCCGUGGUGAAAAGCAAGUCACAAGGCAGCAGGGAAUUCAUGGAGCAGCUCCCUGGGUACGCACACAGCUAUGUGGUCAGCUGAUGUUUGCCUGAACUGGAGCUAUUGUAACACUCAUCUGUUCUCUGUGGGAACUGCAACACUUAAGAACUACUAUUUAAUUACAUUUCAAAAGUGUUAUUCUAUUCUUAAAGUAAUGAACAUACUUUUAGGCCAUUUAUGACAGAACAAUGUCUGCUUACCACUAGGAUUUGACAUGAUUUCUUGGGCAAAUGAAAUGGUUUGGAAAACAAGAAACCUGAGAAAUUACUUUGAAAUGAAAGCUAACUGCUGUUUGUUAGUUAUGUUUCUUGAAGUGAAACGAACCUCUUCAUUACUCAGUGCUAAAAAGUUGUGGCUUCAGUGAGUAUCUUGCCAGUGUUUGCCAAGAGGUGAGACUACCGUGGUUAGCUGAUGUCACCAACAAUUUACUGUAAAAAUGGAUUUUAAAAAGGCAAUACAGUGAUUAAGAAUUGCAGCAACAAUACCACGUAUUUUCACAUACCUGAACAUGAUUCCCUCAGAGAAGGGAUCCAAACUGUCUACAAGUUCUAAUUCAGCAUCUCCUCCCAAAGUAAGCAUCUGGUAGUUCUCCUUCAGUUUAUUUGUUAUUACAUUAAAUCCCGCCAUAAAUUCAUUGAGCCUCUGCUUCCUGAGAUCUUCAAAAGCUUGUCUAAAUCUGUCUCUCUCGUUGGUAAUGUCAUCCAAUUCAGCCACACGUUUUAAGUAUAGCUCUUCCUGUAAAAAACAAUGAGACACCACAAAACCAAAGUGCAGUUAAAGAAACUGCCUCUACUUUAGAUUUUAUGCCACUCUUCUUUCUACCAUUUCAAAACUUAUUUUUCCCAGAAUGACCAACAGCCCUGAAACAAAAAAGAAUUGAGAACAAACCCUCCCUCCUUUCACUGUUCACUUCUGACGUGGACUCCCUCAGUCAUUUAAUUAACUUGAAACUGUAAUUAAACAAUGUCUAUUUUAGUAGCUCUGUGCUUCAGGUAAUCUUACAGCUCUGCCCAUAAGAGCUGUGGGUAUUUGGUGCAGAGUAUCUCUCAAACACUCUGGAGAGAAGCAGCUCCCAUCUGCAUUUAAUCAACCUGUCUCAACAGCUACAAAUGGUUCUGCUUGAUACCAUCUAAUAGCACAGAUAGUCAUUGUCUGUCUUUACAUGUCAGCAGUCUGCGUGUAAAGGUUUUUCCUUCUUCCCCUGGGAUGAGGCAAUGCUAGGCAAGAAAACCUGAAUAAAUCCUUAAAAAGCUACAUGUGUUUUGGACAAGACAAAGCCAUACUGUUGUGCUGACACGCAGUGCAAUAUCAAAGCAAUGAAUUCUACUGCUACAUGGCAGUAGCAAAGCUUUACCUUCCUCCUAUAUUCUGCAAUAGCACCAAGGUUGGGUUUCAUUUCAUGGCACUGUGCUUCCAAGAGAGCUAUUUGAUUAGUGAUAAUGUCCGGAUCCUUGAUAGCCUCAAGCUCUUCUUGACUGAGCACUGGGAGUUCUUCGGGUGGCUUAUCUUCUAUGGGAUGCAAUGAUAAUUUUGAUAUCUCCUUUUGCCAGUAUUUAAUCUUCGACUGAUGUGUAGAAAUAUGACUAUCAAUCUGUUCAAUUUUAAACUUGAUAUUAAGAGCUUCCUUUCGUAGUUCGUGUUCAUCAUCCUGAAUAGCUCUCAUCUCCUGCAGCAAAUUGCGGUGCUCCUCCUGAACGGCCGGCAGCGCUUCCUGCAGGAGUGACACACAGAGUGCAUUCCUCAGCUGCCUGGGAAGUGUUACCCAUUCCUCACUUUAU